Molecule: long non-coding RNA, 340 nt
Filed under: Elaeis guineensis (African oil palm)
Lineage: Eukaryota; Viridiplantae; Streptophyta; Magnoliopsida; Arecales; Arecaceae
Description: long non-coding RNA (EGUI_LNC048588)
Source: RNAcentral
CCCAACCUGACAUUAGAAAAGACAAUGGCUGCUGGUUUUGUCAUGCCAAGGGUCAUAGGAAAGAAAAGUGUCCUAAUACAAAAUUUGGCUUGAGAAAAGAAACAACAAUGGUAAUUCGCUUGCUCUAGUUUGUUUCGAAUCUUCGCUAGCAGGUGCUCCACCUAAUUCUUGGUGGCUUGAUAGUGGCAUAUCUAUUCAUAUUGCUCAUUUUUUAUAGGGGUUCAUAAACAAAUGCAAGCCAAGUCAGAGCCUAAGGGGAGUUUUGGUCUUAGGCUUGAGAGAAGGUGGAGAGAGAGAAGGUAAUAAAUGAGAGGAUUUGACCAAAGAGAAUCACUAGACU